This 494-nucleotide ribosomal RNA is filed under the name uncultured bacterium. RNAcentral describes it as "partial 16S ribosomal RNA". It matches the Rfam family "Bacterial small subunit ribosomal RNA", at positions 28 to 507 of the family's 1533-position model. The record is from RNAcentral.
GACGAACGCUGGCGGCGUGCCUAAUACAUGCCAGUCGAGCGGACUUACAAAGCUUGCUUUUUAAGUUAGCGGCGGACGGGUGAGUAACACGUGGGCAACCUGCCUGUAAGACUGGGAUAACUUCGGGAAACCGGAGCUAAUACCGGAUAAUCCUUUUCUACUCAUGUAGAAAAGCUGAAAGACGGUUUACGCUGUCACUUACAGAUGGGCCCGCGGCGCAUUAGCUAGUUGGUGAGGUAACGGCUCACCAAGGCGACGAUGCGUAGCCGACCUGAGAGGGUGAUCGGCCACACUGGGACUGAGACACGGCCCAGACUCCUACGGGAGGCAGCAGUAGGGAAUCUUCCGCAAUGGACGAAAGUCUGACGGAGCAACGCCGCGUGAGUGAUGAAGGUUUUCGGAUCGUAAAACUCUGUUGUUAGGGAAGAACAAGUACGAGAGUAACUGCUCGUAACUUGACGGUACCUAACCAGAAAGCCACGGCUAACUACGUG